CCAGCCUCACUAGGGUGCCACCCCAAAUUCCUGCUAAUAGAGUGCCCUAGGAAGCCAAUUUGUCACAAUUGGUACGAGAUGAAAGUCUAUUUGCCGUCUUUGUAUGUACUCCCUACAGACCGUUUUGAUACCUCAUAGCCACAUGAUACUUUACAUUUCUCUAGUGUUUGUACUUAAACGCUAGCACACCUUCCCACUCAGGAAACGGAGAGGAGAAAGGUGGAGAAUUCACCAAGUAACCCCAUGAUAAGAACAGCAGCACAGCUCUGUUACCAGGCUGCCUUUUACCUCUCCCCCCUCAGGCUUUCCAUCUGAUGGUCCCCUGGUGUGUGCCCUGGAACAGGAGCGAAGGCUCCGCGUCCCUCCGAAGCCACCUCCCCCUUUGCAGCCCCUUCUCCGAGGUGGGCAAGGGUUGGAAGCUGCUCUAAGCUGCCCCCGUUUUCUGCGGUAUCCACGGCAGCAUCUGAUCAGCAGCCUGGCAGAGGCAAGGCCAGAGGAACUGACUCCCCACGUGAUGGUGCUCCUGGCCCAGCACCUGGCCCGGCACCGGUUGCGGGAGCCCCAGCUUCUGGAAGCCAUUGCCCACUUCCUGGUGGUUCAGGAAACCCAGCUCAGCAGCAAGGUGGUACAGAAGUUGGUCCUGCCCUUUGGGCGGCUGAACUACCUGCCCCUGGAACAGCAGUUUAUGCCCUGCCUUGAGAGGAUCCUGGCUCGGGAAGCAGGGGUGGCACCCCUGGCUACAGUCAACAUCUUGAUGUCACUGUGCCAACUGCGGUGCCUGCCCUUCAGAGCCCUGCACUUUGUUUUUUCCCCUGGCUUCAUCAACUACAUCAGUGGCACCCCUCAUGCUCUGAUUGUGCGUCGCUACCUCUCCCUGCUGGACACGGCCGUGGAGCUGGAGCUCCCAGGAUACCGGGGUCCCCGCCUUCCCCGAAGGCAGCAAGUGCCCAUCUUUCCCCAGCCUCUCAUCACCGACCGUGCCCGCUGCAAGUACAGGUGGAUGGGGCAGCCUGGGGCAAGGGGAGGGGCCGGCCUGGGACCAGCAGAGUGGAAAAGCCAGAGGGACCAUGAAGCGCCAAAGCUAAGGAGCUCUCGGCCACCAUAAAACUGGGCCCUGAAGCAGCAGAGGGCUUUGCCCAGCGUGGUGGCACUAGACUGGGACAGACUAGGAUGAGGUGCCGGGCCCUUCCUGCUACUGGUGUCCUUUCUCCUCAGUCACAAGGACAUAGUAGCUGAGGGGUUGCGCCAGCUGCUGGGGGAGGAGAAAUACCGCCAGGACCUGACUGUGCCUCCAGGCUACUGCACAGGUGAGCAAGGGGCAGGCGGCAGGCCCAGGGAGACGGAGCCCUGGCUAAGGCCGCCGGCCCUGCUCCCCCUCCAGACUUCCUGCUGUGCGUCAGCAGCUCUGGUGCUGUGCUUCCCGUGAGGACCCAGGACCCCUUCCUGCCAUACCCACCAAGGUCCUGCCCACAGGGCCAGGCCGCCUCUAGCCCCACUACUCGAGACCCUGCCCAGAGGUAAGGGAGGCAGGGUGGGGGAGCCCUGGCCACCUUGCCCGCCAUGCCCUGAGCCACAUCCCUCCCCCUGCAGGGUGGUGCUGGUGUUGCGGGAACGCUGGCAUUUCUGCCGGGACGGCAGGGUGCUGCUGGGCUCGAGAGCCCUGAGGGAGCGGCACCUAGGCCUGAUGGGCUACCAGCUCCUGCCGGUGAGUGGCCCUGGCCUGGCCCGUGGCGUAUCCUCACUCCGGGCCUGCGGGUAACCUGCCGCCAUCUCCUCUCCCCACAGCUACCCUUCGAGGAACUGGAGUCCCAGAGAGGCCUGCCCCAGCUCAAGAGCUACCUGAGGCAGAAGCUCCAGGCCCUGGGCCUGCGCUGGGGGCCUGAAGGGGGCUGAGGGGAUGAUGUGGGGUUCAGGAUGGCCCCCCCAUGGGGGGUGGAUGAUUUGCACUUUGGUUCCCUAUGUUUUGAUUUCUCAUUAAAG
Molecule: small RNA, 1980 nt
Filed under: Pongo abelii (Sumatran orangutan)
Lineage: Eukaryota; Metazoa; Chordata; Mammalia; Primates; Hominidae
Description: retained intron
Source: RNAcentral